AUCACUUCUUGGCCUCUUGGCUAAGAUCAAGCAUAGUGUCUGUUCUUACCAGUUUAGUGAGUCUCACUGGGCAGUGAGGACACCCCCCUACCCCCACAGUCCCAGUUGGAGACCCCCUGCCAGGGGCUUCUGAGAGAACCCAGGGAGAGAGAGAGGACCCCUC
RNAcentral lists this small nuclear RNA (163 nucleotides) under Cervus hanglu yarkandensis (Yarkand deer). Its description in RNAcentral is "U2 spliceosomal RNA (ENSCHYG00000006605.1)". It matches the Rfam family "U2 spliceosomal RNA". From Rfam's summary of the family: U2 is a small nuclear RNA (snRNA) component of the spliceosome (involved in pre-mRNA splicing). Complementary binding between U2 snRNA (in an area lying towards the 5' end but 3' to hairpin I) and the branchpoint sequence (BPS) of the intron results the bulging out of an unpaired adenosine, on the BPS, which initiates a nucleophilic attack at the intronic 5' splice site, thus starting the first of two transesterification reactions that mediate splicing. The record is from Rfam by way of RNAcentral. Lineage: Eukaryota; Metazoa; Chordata; Mammalia; Artiodactyla; Cervidae.